This is a non-coding RNA of Paramuricea clavata, 33191 nucleotides long. The record is from the annotation of a GenBank genome assembly. Lineage: Eukaryota; Metazoa; Cnidaria; Anthozoa; Malacalcyonacea; Plexauridae.
AGCAUCUAAGUAUCAUUAAUCCCGGACAGUCUUAUAUAUCGGAAAGACGAGCGAGUGCUCUCAUUUCUUGCUGACCAACGUUCGUAGAGACAACUCCAUCACUUGCUCCAGCGCGUUUUUCGAUUGCACUGAAUUCUACUUCGUUGGAUCUUUGCCCAAGGUAUGUUUGUUAAAUAUUUUGUUGACAUAAAUUUGUUAUCUCAGCGAGUUUUAUUUUUCAUGUUUGUGUUAUCGCGUUGCUAAAUUAUAGACAUGAUGAUAUUGUGUGUUGUUAAGUUUGAAUUGCGCACAUUAUGCAUAUCGGAAGUAAAUUGUUGCGUUUAAUUCGUGGUGCGCAUGAAAUAUUUUUAACAUUUUAUUAGGCAAAUUGUACUUACUGGCGUUCAAUGUACGCGUUUUGAGUCGUGGUAAAAUUGUACUCAAAGCUGCAAUUAUGGGCGUAACUUUGGUCUAAAUAAUGUAUUAAGGGGGCUGGGAAAGGCAAGAAACGUUUAUGAGGCUCCCCAUGGGUGGCGACAAAGGCACAAGCAUCGAGUGCCGAUGAUGCGAGACCCUGGGGGUAUUGGGGGAGGAGGAGGAGUAAUAAUUAGAACGUAUAUUUGCUCGACUAAUUUCUUGAGCAUUUGAUAAAUUUGCCCUAAGAAAUUGCCUUUCUCAAACAAUCAAACAUUAGGUUAAGGGCACCCCACGCCACCCCACGCCACCCACACCCCACGCCACCCACACCCCACGCCACCCACACAACACCCACGCCACCCCCAUCCCACCGACCCACACAAGUCGUUGCUUCGUUUCCAAUGGAGACGGCUGUUGGUAAUAUUCAUAGUUGUAAACCUGAGGAAAUACGUCGACGUUUCAACGAAAGCCUUUGCUAGUCGAAUGCGUGUAUUCGUUCGCAUAUGUUGCGGAAUGUUACGGCGCAUGUUUGAUUUUUUAUGGUAUUUUAUGGGUGUUAGUUUUCUUCAUCCUUGUGCCGGCGCGCGAUUUUCACACUUGAGAUGCAAUUAUCAUUUGUAAUAAAAUUCCAAAUAGUUGCUCCAAGCCUCCAAGGUCAGAGAUACAUUGCGUUAAUUAUCUUAUCGAAACAACAAUUGACGCGGUGGUGUCAUGCUGGGACCAGCAAGGACUCUGCUUGAUUGGCUGAUCAUAAACUGAUUAUUUGAUAUAUUAUGCGCAGACGUAAUGCGCCUUACCGUAUUAUCACCAGCUAAGGAACUUUUCUACUGAACCUAUAAAGGGACUUUCACCACUCGCGUGGGAUAUUAUCUUCAAGUGUAAGUUAAGACAUAUGUGUAGAAUGUGUAUACUUAUAAUACGAUCGACAUGUAGCUCAAUUAUCGUGGAGAUUACUGGACAGUACUUGCACAACUAUUCAUUUAUGUUGGGUAUAUUUCAACUAUACGCGUAUCUCUUUUCAAAGAUUCCUUAAUUUGUCUCGAUUUUUAUCAUAAAUCCGUAACCCUCAAAUAAGAUCAACUCUGACGUCAUCCUGGCUUGAUGACGUCACUUCCGGCGUAGUGACACAUUUGCAUGAUAGUUUUGCGCUAUUGAUGAAUGGGCUGUGGUGUGGGUGAUGCAUGCAGCUUGGCACGCUACCUUUCCAAUAAUCUGGAUUUUAUCAGACUCGAUUUGAAACUGGAGUGAAAUUUCCGCGAUAAGUUUGCGCUAUUGAUGGUUAGACUAUCGGACAGGUGAUGCAUGCAGCAUGGCACGUUACCUUUUCAACAAUCUGGAUUAAUUUUAUCAGGCUCGAUUCGAAAGGUUUGAGUGAUAAUUUUGCGCUAUUCAUAGGUGGCGUAUGAGAUGGGCGAUGCGUGCAGCUUGGCACGCUACCUUUCCAAAGCUGUGGAUUUUAUAAAUUCAGACGCGAUUCAUAACUGGCCUCAAGUUUGAACGAAAAUUAAAACAACAUGUAUUAGGGAAUUAACUUACGGAGCUGUAUCGAAGUUCGCUUGGAAUGUGAGAAUGUGAGCUAAGCCAGAUUAGUAUUUUUGCACAAGUGAACAUAACAAAUCCUACAAGUUGAUUGGUCAAAUUUGACGUAUUAAGCUGUUAUAUUCACCUACAGGUGAAUAUAACAAAACCGAAAUUUUUAAAAUGGCGGCUAGCCGUUUUGUGAAAGUUAUACUGAUAAAGAAAUAAGCGAAAUUAAAAUAAAUUCAGUCCCAAAAAACACAAAAAUACUAAAACAGUUAUUCGCCUCAGGCUCGGUGAUUAUCGGGGAAUAUACACCUCGACUUCGUCUCGGCGAAUAUUCCCCGAUAAUCACCUCGCCUUGGGCGAAUUAUUGUUAAAUAUUCAACUACCUCUGACCCUUCCGUAGAUUGAAAGAUUAAAUUAACACGCUUUUCCCCGGCCGCGUGUAAUCCUCCUUCUAUAGAAAGCCCAAGAGGUGUAGGGUGUUAUUAAUUAAUUUUCCCAGGACAAGUCCGGAAUUGCAGUGUGCAGUGUCAGCUGAUAUAAGUCGAGUACUUUUUAUCUCUUAGUCGUGAUGGCAAAAUCCUAAAAUCUUGUUUUCUCUGGAGGCAGAAUAUUGAGUUCCCAUAAAUGUAAUCGGAUUUUCUCUGUUUCAUUAGCUAUGUCAUGGUUAUAAAUGAUUUUGUAUAUCAAUAAGCUUAUUUUACAGAAUCAAUAAAUUGAGAAAACAACUUUUAUAAAAAACUUAAAUAUAGCUCUUCCAUCUUCGAAUAUUUUGGUAUUGAUUUUAUCUCAAAUCAAAUCAAAUCAAAUCAAAUCAAAUCUCAGUGUGGCUUGAAAAAACUAAACUCUGACGAUUUACGCACGUCGUGGUAGUUUACCCAGUAAUUUACAUGGAAUAGGCAACGACAGUUCAUUUAAAGGCACAGUUCAGCCUUUUGAAUGAUGGCCGGUAUUUAAGGAGCAUUACAAGCCUUUUAAUUGAAAAAACUAACUAGGAAAAUGAAUUAAGCAUAAUUCAAAAUCAGUGAACUCAAUGUUUUUAACAUUAGAAAUGUUUAAAAAUGGUAAAAUCAUUGAAAUCACUGAUCUUGAAUUAUGCUUCAAACACUCAUUACAUCACAAAUCAUGUCAACCAUAAUAUGUCACGUGCAGUGGCUUUAAACCUGAUACAACACUCCUAAUUAGUAUUCUUUAUAUAAAGAAUACUAAUAAGGCAGUGUCUAUUGUAGUCGUGUCCUCAUUGGUAUUUUUUAUAUAAAGAAUACUAAUAAGGCGGUUUGUAUAGUCGUGUUUGAAGCCGUUUAAUAAACUUGCAGGUCGUGUUUUAUUAGGUUUAAAGCCACUCGCGCUGCGUGCUCGUGUCUUUAAACCUAAUAAAACACUCCUGCUCGUUUAUUAAACAGUACUUAAUUGAUUUUCCUAGUUAGUUUUUUCAAUUAAAAGGCUUGUAAUGCUCCUUAAAAACCAUCAUUCAAAAGGCUGAACUGUGCCUUUAAGUCCCCAUUUCAGGUGCUAUUUUCUCCUUCUGAUGGAUGUGAACGAGUGGACGAGUUAUGAGUGUUCAGAUGAGGGUACGUGUAUACUCAGAACAUUCGUAACUCGUCCACUCGUUAACAUCCAUUAGAAGCAGCCUCGUCCCCGGCGCUUUGAUGUUGCGUGACGCGCGCGCGGGAGGACACGCGUGGCGGGAAAGGAAAAAUUCGGAGCGAAGCUAACGCACCUCGAUUCCCGCGCGUGCGUCACGCAACCAGUAAGCACAUCAAAGCGCCAGGGACGAGGCUGCAUUAGAAGAAAAUCCACUAGACGGCGCAGCAAAAUUUGAAAGUGUUAACGGGCCUUUACACCACUGCACCUUUUGUGAUAUAAUCCCAUACAAAACAGAUAACAAUACUGAUAAUGGUAUUGCCAAUGUUCAUUUAGAUAUUAGAAGAUUAUCUCAGUAGGCUGAAAUUUCGAUUCAAAACUGCAGGAAUUGAGUGCAAAGGACACAAUUGUUUUAAGCUUUCAAAAAUGUAUUAUAAAAAUUUAGAUUAGGCCAAUGAAAAUUGAUAUCAUGUUUCUCGUCCCCGCCCGCAUGGGAUUUAUCUGCCGCACGAAAAUUUUUCAUUAUUCAUUAUUUUUGAAAAAUAGGCUUAACAAAACACCAAAUUGAUCUCCUGAUCAAAGUUUUAUUGCUGCAUUCCGCAAGCGCAACUCAAAUUGUAUCUUUCUAAAGAUAUUACUCGCCAGAAUGCCUCUAUUUUUCAUGUCAGCCCUGGUAUUAAAGUCAUUAAAUUAAAAUGAAUUAUAGACCGAUGUACUUCAGAUUUUUAUGGGUUUUUUUACUGGGUCAAGGAAAUUAUUGACAAGCAGAAUUCAAACACAAAAAAUAAUGAAAAAUGAAAAAAUCCCGCUCCAAAUUUUUGAAAAUUGUGGACGAGAAACAUGAUAUCAAUUUUCAUUGGCCUUAUUAAAAAGUACCUCGGAAACCUCAUAUUUGCUGCAAUGUCAAAAUUAGUGUCUCAGAAAUUUGCAUGAAAUCAAAUAUUUUUUUAAAGAUCUGGCUGUAGAGAGAGAGACCUUCUCUAAACUUUCACAGGCUUUUUCCAGGCCGACAGUUAGUUCAUCAGAGACUUCUUCUGAACUUCAGACCUUGAGAUCGAUCUAGAUUGGAGCCUGGCCAGUUCCUUGAUUAGCCGAAUUAAAAUGCUAGGCUGACAAGAAUUAGCUCGGUUGUGAAACGUGACCGACCCGAGACCGCCUCACGAGGUGGUCCAGUUUAGCCCGGUGUCGAAUCAAUCUCAUCUCGUAUUACAUGAAGUCUUCAGUGAAGUGAAGAGUGUCUUUGACGUAUGUGUUUCACGAAGAAUCAGGAAUUUUAUAAAAUAAAAUAGAGAAAAAAACUUACAUAAAAUUUAUUAUAUGAGCAAAAAAUACAAACAAACAAACAAACUUUAUUCAAACAGAGCUAUACCAAUUAAUACUGGUACAUAGAAUACAAAACAUUACCGAACUAGAUUACAAAUUAGAUUUAUACUAUUUAUAAUUGAUGAAAAUUUUUGAGGACAUCCAAUGCCACCACAGAUUUGUCUUUCAUUGUAAUAACAUACAUAAACAUAAGUCAUGAUUAUUAGAAGAACAAAACGAGUGAUUUAUUUGGUUCAGCUGAUAUGUAUACUGAUGGUUGAAAACUCCAUUAUACCAUUAGCCUACAUCUCACGCUCAAACAGUACUGAGUUAGCACGUCAAAUAUAAAAGUGGCCCAAUUACUCUAUUAUAUUGUUUGCCUUAGAAUUAUUCUAUCAAAAUAACCAUCGUCCCCAACUAAUCUCAUUCGAGAUAAGAUUACAUUGCAGUAAAAGACAGGAAAUUAAAAUCUGUGUAUUCUGGCAAAUGCUCAACCCUGCACAAUGCUCAGUUUUACAGGCUUAAGAUACGCUAGGAAUAUACAAUGAACUGAGUUAUCUCUGGACGGUUUUAUAGUUAUUACACAGUGGGGAUAUGGCCCCCUUUUUGUAGUCUGUUCCGCCCAAAAUUGAGUAUUAGGUUUUCUUUUUCUCUUCCUCUUGUUCAGCUGUGAUUGCUUGUGAUGCAAGGCUGGUAAACUGGUCUUCUUUUCGUUCUGGUGACGCUCUGUAGACAGGUACGACUGUUUGAAACAUAUGACACUGUAUUUAUUACUGUAUAUAUUGGCACGAAUAUAUAUAGAAUAAUGAUCAAAUAUUUCCUAUUCAAUCCUAUUGUUUCUGAUAGAAUAACAAACAUGGAAACUAGAAAGAGUCCAUGGCAUUUAACUACUAGAUAGAUAUCUUUUACAUGAUAUAUAAUUAUCAAAAAUAAUAAAAUAUAAUAUUUGGGCUAGGAGCCAUAACGUCUGGAUUACACUAUCAAAGUUUCUGUGAUCACAGUAGGAAUUUUCACAGUAAAUUCUAAGUUUUGAAGGAUUUGUAAGAAACGUUUGUGGGAAAUGACUCAUAGAUUUGAGAUUAUUAGUUAGGUUAUUCCAAAAGAUUAUUAAAAGAUUGAAGAUUAAAGUUAUUUCAAUAAGUGUAUAAGUGUAUAUAAGUGCAAUUAGGAUUUAAGCUGAAGAAGAAACGAUCCUGCUUAAUUUAAUUUCUUUAUAUUAUCCUGUCUGAUCCGUAAUAGUUUGUUAUAUUUUUGGUUACUUAUCUCAUUUACUUGCUCUUAUUGUAUCUCAUUUUGUUCACAUACUAAGAGCAUUGCUUUAUUCCUUCCGCUCAACAUGCAUGCCGGAACCGCCGAGCAGGAAACUCUUCAGUUUGAAAAUUAGUUUUGACUGCAGAAUAAAGGCAAGUAAGCUGUACUGCAGUGAGGUAAAGUAUUGACAGUCAGCCCUCUGAAUGUAAAACACCAUACCGUAGUUGAACGUUAACAAUCUCUUGAAAAACUUUUGAAAAUCCAUAGAAUGGAAAUUGUAUGGACCUUUAUUGGAAAUAGAAUGGAUUUUGAUUGUCCAUAAUAAUUGUAUAUUUCCAUACUAUGCAUAUAGUAUCAUAGGCGUACCGGGCUGAUGCUUUUCGAGGGGGAGGGGGCCGGGGGGGGGAGGCAGUUGAAGGUUUGCCCGAAUUUAAUGUGAAUUUAACCUAUUUUCAAAUUGCAAAUUUCAUAGCUAGUGUGGAUUUCACAUCCCACCCCCCCAGUGAAUGGUACGGAUUGUGACAUUGUUUACGGCUGACGAAACAGAUUACAUGAUCCGCGAAGGUUUGAUUCACCAAAAGUGCUCCAACUGAUCUGGCUAGGGGGCGGACCAUUCGAAAAAGUGACGAGGAGAGGGUGCCGGGGAAUGGAGUGGGGGUUGCGGUACCCUGCAGGUUCCAGAGCCGUUCUUGUGCCGCCGUAUUAUAAAUUACGUAAUUUGUACGAAGGAAUGAGCGAGAAUAGGCCGGAAUUAAGAUACGAGAACCUCUGGCAAUCAGGGUUAAGGUGAGGGGGGACAAAAAUUAUCUGCCCAAAAGAAAAACACCAUGCAAAGGGGCAAGCAAAGCAAAAAAUACCUUUAGUAUUCCGCAAAUUCCAGCACAAGUGCAGACGAAUCGAAAAAGUCGUCAGCACCUCCCCUUUCCAUCACUUUUCUAAAGGGCGGUCCAUAAUAAGAUGAAACGUGAACGGGAAAAGUACCACUUGAAGUUGGCGUGGCUGAGAAGGUCGAAAACGUGAAUACUUCUUUUGUGACGUCCAAGUGGUUUUGAUUGAACGUGAGUUGAGCGAUUAUACUCGCCUUGGAUAAACACCAAAAGGCGGUCAAUAUUUGAAUGCAAUCUGCUCUUGGUCUGAGCAUAGUUAAUAUAACUAUGGUCUGAGCCGCCAUAAAAAUAUUAAAACACAACAAAGUCAACAAAAUAAUUUCAAGCGCAGUUCUGGAGGUUAUAGUGACGGCUACUUUAACCUCCCUUAACCUUCGCAGAAACAUCAAAAUCCUUUUAAUCUUUUCAGGAAGUUCAAAUCACGACAGUUUGUAUUUCGAAAGAUGCAGUGUUUGAUAGAGUUUUUGACAGAAUAAUAUCAGCUUGCAUUUGAUAAGCUUCCUAUGUCCGGAUAUCAAAUACGCUUGCUGAUAAAGAAGUCUCUAGGAUAAUACGUGUCUUUAGUCACACUAGGGCGUCUCUGAGUAUAUAAUGUGUUUGAAACAACGUUUUGUUUGAAUUUUAUUGAAAAAUACGAGAAUCAGCAGGCAGUGAGCGAUGCACAAAGCAUACUGAAGCACAAUACAAGCUAGUACAUAAAGGCUAACCCCGUUCUCCCAGUCGGAAUCUGGCAAAAGCCACAUCCCAGUUCAAGCUGCAUUUUCGAGGUAAGCGUUGAUUAUGAUGUAUUUUUAUUAAAACAUAGUCCACUCAUCUUGUAAUCAGUGUUUCAAAUACACUUGUAGUAAUAUUUGUUUUAAGCCAAUUUUAAAACAAAGCUUGUCGUGAUUAAGUUAAUAUCCUUGUACUGACAAGGCCCCAUGUGGUAUCAUAUAAAUUUCUCUGUUUUCUCUACCCGGCACUACCGAGAAUACUUUCGACAAAUAUGGUUUAGUUUUGCCGUAUAUGUCCAUUCCGUGUUUGUAGUUUUAACAAAAUCAACCGCUGCGCAUUCGCGUGGCAAUUUGCGGCGUUCCCGUGCGAUUCUGUCGUGAUUUUGGAAACGUUAUGUCUACUCGAAUUGUGUCACUUGAGGACAGCCUUUUUAUGUAUCGAGUCCUGUCAACAAGCUCUUGACGAUGUUGUCGCUUAUCACAUAAAUUACGCUGACUUGAUCGGUUUGCGUUUCAACUGAAUAUACUUAACAUCUUCUUAACAUCUCGAGCGCAGGCGUCAAAAUGUUACAGUCGGUUGAGGUAUUUCUCCAACAGUUUUAAUUUUUAACCCUUUUCGAGCAGUUCAGAUACAAAUAACGAUAGCUUAUUGCAGAAUACUACGUGUAUUAGACCUCCUGUUUGGGAUGUCGCAUGAAUUACAUCAAUGACCUAACACCUUCAUUGAGCCAGAUUUGGUUCAGAGUUUCUAAUUAUUUCAACCUUGGCAGUAUCAUUUGGAUAUUAUACAUGUGAUAAAGUACGUACUACGCUAGAGAAAUUUUGUUGAUCAGAAGUAUUCUUUGAAAGUAUUUUCUCUUGUAUAAAGACAUGAUUUUCCUAGUUGUGAACCGAUAAAUCUGUCCUGUUGUCAACAAAAUCCUAAUGUCACGCCCUCCUACUUAGGAUUUUCAUUAAUGGCUAGUGCUGAAGCACUCUUGCGCGUUCAGUAUGUCUUUUCGUGUCGUCUAAACGACAUUGUACGCAGAAAUCAAACGUGUCGGCUUCUUACUAAAUAUCUUACCAACAGCCGGCCUGGUACAGUUAAUUUGUUACAAAUGUACAAAAUGAUGUCAAAAUGUAUGUAAACAUUUAAUAAGCUCGUUAUUUAAUGAAGUUAUGCGUCAACGCCACAAGCCCGCGGUGAAAAAUUUAAAUGAUAAACACGUACUUACAUCGAAACAUUUUAUAUCAAAGUGCGCAAUAGCGAUACAAAUGGUAAUUAGAUUUAAGUACCGCAUGCUCCAUACAUCUGUGGUUGGAGAUUUGCAGUAAGGCUGUCCUGCUAUUUCACUUAAAGAAAAAGAGUAAAUCUUUGUGUAUUUCUUUGGAAGAGUAUACUAUACUCGAUGUAUUUCUACUUUAUUAGAAGCAUAACGGGUCAACGUGCUCGAUUGUCGCGCAAAUUUUCCUGCUGUCACAUUCUUGAAUAGCUCAUGGCCAUUAGAAACGGCACGAUGUGUUAAAUGAUGCACUUAAUUGUCACAAGAGGACUGACGCACGGCCCGCGCAGAGGACGCAGAGAAAAAAAUGCAAAAUAGGAAACGACAGCUCUUCAUUAACAGUGUAAAGUUUAUUCUAACGUUCGUUUAUGGUCAGGAAAACAUUUUUCUCAUAGGAAGACUGACUCUCUUAGUGAAAGAUUAACAACAUUGUAACACCCAUAUUUAUUACUGUAUAUAAGCUUAUGUGAUGGGUAAUAGCUUCUGUAUACAAAGGUUCUGAAAAGUUAUAAUAGAGAUACAGACAUACAGUUUGCUGUAUUUAAGCACUUGUUUCUUCGUAAAUAUGUUCAUUAAUGCGGAGUACAAGUUCUUGAAAAGUUUGGGAGUCAAAAAUCAAAUACAUUUUACGAGAUAUUGAGUAAUUAACGGAUAUGGGCGAGACUAUAUAAGCUACUCAAUUCUUUAUGAUUUUCAUAAAAUUACUUUGUGUACAACGUGUGAAUUUCACACUUGCUUAUAAUGUACAUAGGCUUGGUCCAGCCGUUAAUAUGUACAUGGCAGACAUGAUGAGAUUUCCGCAUCGGGAACACAAACUUAAGGUGUGUGAAAAAUAAUUUAAUCAAAAAUCAAUUACGGAUUGGUCAAGUAUUAAUUAUUAUACGGGUUCAGUUUGACUUCAAUUACCAUUAAUGGACUAUUAACCAAUCAGAUGCGUUUGAUAUAUCAGAUUAACCAAUCAGAUGCGUUUGAUAUAUCAGAUUAACCAAUCAGAUGCGUUUGAUAUAUCAGAUUAACCAAUCAGAUGCGUUUGAUAUAUCAGAUUAACCAAUCAGAUGCGUUUGAUAUAUGCGAUUAACUAAUCAGAUGCGUUUGAUAUAUCAGAUUAACCAAUCAGAUGCGUUUGAUAUAUCAGAUUAACCAAUCAGAUGCGUUUGAUAUAUGCGAUUAACCAAUCAGAUGCGUUUGAUAUAUCAGAUUAACCAAUCAGAUGCGUUUGAUAUAUCCGAUUAACCAAUCAGAUACGUUUGAUAUAUCCGAUUAACCAAUCAGAUACGUUUGCUAUAUCAGAUUAACCAAUCAGAUACGUUUGAUAUCUGCGAUUAACCAAUCAGAUGCGUUUGAUAUAUCCAAUUAACCAAUCAGAUGCGUUUGAUAUAUGCGAUUAACCAAUCAGAUACGUUUGAUAUAUGCGAUUAACCAAUCAGAUACGUUUGUUAUCUGCGAUUAACCAAUCAGAUGCGUUUGAUAUAUGCGAUUAACCAAUCAGAUGCGUUUGAUAUAUGCGAUUAACCAAUCAGAUGCGUUUGAUAUAUGCGAUUAACCAAUCAAAUGCGUUUGUUAUCUGCGAUUAACCAAUCAGGUGCGUACUAAGCCAGUGAGAGGUAGAGGAAGUCAAAUCUGAAACUCUCUAUAAGUUAACAGUUGCAGAAAAUAAAUUACGAUCCCUUAUUGAUGAAAAGCUGAAUCAACAAUUAUAUGCAACCUAUCAUUAAUGUUAUAGUUGGAAAAUAACAAAACAGUUUAAAAUUAAGUUAAAUCACGUUCAGAUUUCCGUAAAUGCAUUUUUUUGGCCUGCACGAAGAUCCUAGAACCGAAAAAAUAAAUUUUCGAGCUGAUAAAUGUAUUCAUUCUUGGCCCAUGUUAUCGUUCAAAAUGCCAACCAUUGCUUGUAAUUCUUCAUCUAACAUUUUAAAGAGCAUUGAUGUUUCUUCGAUACAAUUAACUUAAUAAUUUUUCAGUUCCUCUUUUUUGAAAUGCAAUUAAGUUCCUUCUUUGUGAGAUAGCGACCAUGCAAAACAGUUGCUCUCUUGAAGUUCUCCACAGGGAGUGAACUUCACGCUGACAUCAAAACAAUAUGUUGACACAUUAUUUUAUAGCAAUGAUAAGUUAUUCUUUGAGUUCUUCAAAGGUGAAGUGAUAGCAAUUUCCUGAUAACGAUAGAACACUCUACAGGGAUAAGGUUGUUCAAGCUUUCAACCUCCCGCUCAAUUUGCUGCCGCAAAUGCAUGUUUAAGGGGGGAUGGGGUAAUUGAAGAAGAGCUUAUCUAAAUUUUGGGGAAAUGUAGUACUAUUAUUAUUAUUAUAGUGGUAGUAUGUUGCACUGGUAAAAAUCUUUAUUUACAGUUUAAAAAACGUAAAAUAUAAAUCAAGCUUUCGGACUAAGCGUCCAUCGUCAGGAUUAAAAUGGCAAAAAAGAUCAGUCGCUUAAAUACUAUUUACAUGUCAAUGACCUAACUAAAAUACUAGGUUUUUUGAAUAAUUAGACUAAAAGACAAAAGAGUCAUAAUAGAGUCAUAUAAGCGUAAUAUAGAGUCAACAAAAGAGCCAUAAUAAGACACUGGAUAAAAGAGUCAUAAUAGCGUAUUAUAGCGUCAACAAAGCAUUAUUUAGUCUUUAUCAAUUUUCUCUAUUAUGACUCUUUUGUCUUUUAGUCUAAUUAUUCAAAAAACCUAGUAUUUUAGUUAGGUCAUUGACAUGUAAAUAGUAUUUAAGCGACUGAUCUUUUUUGCCAUUUUAAUCCUGACGAUGGACGCUUAGUCCGAAAGCUUGAUUUAUAUUUUACGUUUUUUAAACUGUAAAUAAAGAUUUUUACCAGUGCAACAUACUACCACUAUAAUGAAACUUCCUGGUAACAUAACCACACUAAAUUAUUAUUAUUGUUUAAGAAUAUUUAAACACAGUAGCCUUUCACAAUUAGUGAUUUUCAAAGGGCCGUAUAUCACACAAAAAUAUUAUACAAUAAAUAUUUACAACUAUAUGAUAAAGCGUACUGCAAUCCGCGGCCAAGCACAAAUUUACAGUCAAUUAAAAUAAUGUUUAAGAAUUUUAGAAAAUGAAUUUACUGAUUAGUACAUGUCGUACGCUGUCAUCUAUAGUUAAACGAGCAUGGUUUACCAUUAUUGUGAACGGCCUAGACUUGCUUCGACUGUCUGCGUCUCAAAGGGCUUGUUAUUUCGACGUUGUAAGAGAGCGCAAAAAUGCGGGCGGGAGGAAUUUACGCGCGGACAGCGGGCACGCAGGAGGCGAGAAAUUCGGGAAGCGGUUGUCGUGGUUGAUCUUGAGCAACCUCGUUCUCAGGCUCUUACCUUCGCACGCCCCAAGCUAAGAUAAAUUAUUUCAAUAACACAAACAAACCCACCCCUCUUCUACUGUACGUGGGCUGGAGCAGUCACCUCGGGCUGUUUGGUAUCUGGCCAAAAUUCAUGAAGAAAAAUAUUCAUACUUACGCUAAUACGCUCAGCAGAAGUAUUUGGCACCAAAUCGAUUGUGUUUUUGAUAUUAUAUAUUCAAAAGGAAACAGUGUUACUUUUGCAUUAAAAAACACUGAGCAUAUUUGUGUCGAACCUUGCUAGCUAUUUUUACGUCGGAUUUACUUUUUACUUUCAAUGCCGGCCCUGUGACGCCGACUUAUGUAUAUAAUUCUGUAUACAGUAAGCGAUAAAAAAACAAAAAGCUAAAGACGCAAAAAAAUACCGCAUUUUACAAGGUGUGAAGUACCUCCAAAAUAGGUUUGAAGCAAAUCAACACGGUCAAUGUUCACUGUGAGUCUGUAACCUUAGUGAGUACCUUACCCCAUUUUUGGACAACUACAGAUCCAUGGUGACAUAAUCUUGCUAACUGCACCAGACAUUCUGGCAAAAUGCCUUUGCGUGGGAAAAAUAUAAUAUCCGACAGAAAAUAAACCUUUGAUUACAAAUGCAGCUGUUUUCUGUAUUUUCGUUUUCGGCGUCGCAUUUUCUUGUGCAAAUUAUAUAUUUGCAUGGUGCGCGUCUUCGAGUGUAGCUUAUUGUCUAAAAAUAAAGUAGGGAAGAAGAAUAUCUUUCUACCAAAAGAACAUUUCCAUGUUGACUUUAGUACGCACUAGUCUUUAUUUUUAUCACAUUUCCUGUGUUUGGUAGAAGGUAGUGAAAGGUUUGAAUUUCGUUUGAUAAAACGCGUUUCCUUAAAAGGGAUGUUUAAAUAACUCUGCGCGCUGUUUGAAGAUGCGCAACUUUGCGCGCGCACGAGAUGGAAUGAUCAUCGUUGAGGUUUUGUAUCAAAAAAUCUUGUUCUUAGUAAGAACAAGAUUUUUUGAUUGGCACGCCUUGUCGUACUUUUCAGUAGCGUGGACACACCAAGAAUUCAAGUUAGCUCGUUUUGCGGAUAUGUUUUGUUGCAGAAAUAAACAAACUAAUGUUCAUUAAAUAACAUAGCCUCCAGGGCCACUUGACUGGGUUGACUUCGAUAAAUCAUCAGUAUUAAAUGUAUGGUUGUAUCAUUUAUAACACUUUAUAACAGAACAAGUGCUUUGCUAUUAUAUCAGAUUUAUCACUCAAUCACCCAGGAAUCUCUGAUUACUAAACGCAUGAAUGAAGUUCAUUCUUCGCUAUAUAGUUUCUCUACAGCGCUUGUCUAUUUGUUUCAACUUCAAAAACAUGUGUUAGUGGACAAGUUUAGAUCUGCAGAGCAGGGAAUAGUGACGUUUAUUAAUUUUCCUCUCUUCCGCUCUGUCGAGGUGUGAUUAUAAAUUAAGGCGUUGAUGAUAUGGAAUUUAAUAGUAUAUUUGAUUCUCCUGAGUGAAAACAAGACUUUGGGUGGCUGGUUGGAUGGGGAUAAGAGGUCUGUAGUUAUGUUCAAAAGGAAUACAAAAGUGAUUUACUAUAAUUCGAUUUGUUUAAAUUUAAAUGCGUCUUGGUGAUUUUUGAAUCCUUUUGAAUUGUAAAUUCUUCAGGCUAUAAUAUUAACAUAUUUGCGUGCACUCAUGGCUUAUUGUAACGCGAUUUACUGUAUAGCUGAUGAUGAUACACGUACACAGAUACAAAUUAAACUUUAUUUAGACACGCUAGCCUCAACAACUGCUAAAACAAUGAGCUGGUUUUCACGAAGGACGUGAUACACGCAGUAUGUUACAUAAUAAGUUGAUAAUUAAAGUAAGAAAUAACGAAAGUAGAAGCAAGAGAACACUAUGAAAAUACAUAUCAUAGACAAAUCCAAAGAUGAAAAUCGAUGAGCCAGUUUAAGUAUAAAAUGCGUGGCGAACCUCUUGACCACUGACACUCGAAUGACUCAAUCUUGGCCAAUCGUGCACGGAUGGAGAUCUCUGACACUUGCGUACUUUAUUCAGUACUUGCGGGAACCACUGAGUAUUUUCAUAAAAUACUAUACAACGGUAACUCCGAAUAAAGUAAGCAUUUUGAUUCAACGUUUCGACUUUAUUUAGUCAUCAUCAGGAAUCCUGAUGAUGACUAAAUAAAUUCAUCGGGAUUCCUGAUGAUGACUAAAUAAAGUCGAAACGUUGAAUCAAAAUGCUUACUUUAUUCGGAGUUACCGUUGUAUUGUAUUUUAUUCAGUACACAUAAAGGGAUUCAAUCGUGCAAAUGUAUUAGUUUUGCUCGGGAAUUCUGGAAUAUUAUUGUGAAGCCAACACAGUUUGCGCGAUUAUGCAUUUACGCAUGUAUAUUAUUUGUUACUAGAUUUAUAAACCAAUCAGAUGUAAUCGUAUUUCACUUGUUUUUCAUGUAUAGUAAUUUCUGCUGAAAAGUAUUGGAUUACUGUUGCGGCCUAGGACCUACAGUAGCAGGCUAGGAUUUCUAUGAAUGAGGAUUACGGUGAUCUUUACUGUAACGAUGGCGCAGGAAAUACCUGGCAGAUGUGUAUAGAAUUACUACGCUUGCCAUUUUAAUAUGAACACAUAACCUCCAAUUCAUUAUGUUUGAAACUUAUAGAAAUUUUAAAGAUUGCGUAACAUUGAAUAGAAUCUAAAGAAACUGAAGAAUCAUUUACUGCCAAACAUAUUUGAUCAUAUUUGCGCAACAAAAAACAGCCUGUAAUUUGCGCGAGCACUAAAAUCUUCAUGCACUUUGUUAGCCUGCAAAACAGGCGCAGGCUAACACCUUCGUGUGUGCAUUUGUGACAUUAAAUAUCACACGUCAAACGAUAGUCAAAGAAAAAAUGUAAGCUAUAUAAGGCAAUAAAUAAGAGUAAAAGUAAUAAAAGUCUUGUUAUAUUAAACUGAACUGUAAUGCAUAAUGAUUUGCCGGUAUUGCCUGUAGGCUAUGAAUGUCUUGAAUAUUGCAAUGUCUAAAGUUCUUCGCACUUUCUCAGAAUAAAACACUAAGCUGUAAAAUCUGUUCUAUUUUUGUCAUAUUUAAUCAUUCGAAAUAUCUCUUGGAAUUUUGUUUUCGUACAAUAUGUUUACAUGUGUCACGAAUUUCAGGAUCUCACGACAAAUGCAUGAAGGAAUAUUUUAUUAAAGCGAAAUAUCAAAAUGACCAAAGUUACGACGACUUGAUAUAUUGCGCUUUUGUGGUAUCAAUGUUGUAUGGCUAUUCUGAAGGGUCAGAUUUUUUUAUUAAAACUUUAUUCAAAGACACUAUAGCCCCAUCAGCAAAAGCAAACAAAACACAUAGCUACAGUUGGACGGUUUGCCAUUUUUAACCGCAUAGAGGCUGUGUAACAUCAGCCGGAAGUUCAUUCCAUAACUCAGCCCACGUUGUAUUUUCAACGCAGCCGUUUGGUCACGAUUUUUGACAUUUCUUACGAUUUUUGCAAGACUUCUGUAUGUCUCCAGUAAUUUCUAUCGUUUGAAAAAGUUCUAAACCAGGCUCGUUUCUUCCCUUAUUAGUAGUGUUAAGCUGUUUAAUGCGCUUGCAGUACUUCAAAUAAUCUAUAAAGCCGUAUAUUAAUAUUAUUAAUUUAAUUUUACCAUUUACGGUCGAAUGUAUAUCAUUCUAUAUACGCUUGUCUAUCCUGUGUUAAUGAUUUUACUUCUAUAUAGGUUGCCACUUUCAUCGUCUGUGUCUAUAUCUGAACAAUACUCCUAGACGGUAGAGAUUACUUGGCUCUGGUUUACUUCAUUCUUGGUGUGGUUGUCUGAACUAGCAACCAGAAUAUCGUGGUUAGACUAAGGUAAGCGAUACCAGUGAAAAUAUGCGGAAUGAACCACAGACUUCGUCCUGUUGCGCUAUUUUGCCAAUAUCGGUGGGUUGAAAGAAGUCAUUCAUGUCGGUUAUAUAGGCAUACUGCCUAACAGAGCCCAAGCGUAAAAUAAAAUAAAAUAAAAUAAUUUUAUAUUGAACUGCUCCAUCAGGUUUAAACAGUUCUCCUUAGUGGUCCAGUAACGGUUCUCUCUGGUUGGAUUCCUGCGAGAGGGCCUAUAUAUAGUUACAUUUUUGGCAACUGCUCCCGGGUUAGCUCUAAGAAAUGUAUAAAAUUCACACUGUAUAAAAUUAGUGCCUGAUUGUCCUCAUUGGUGGAACUGAUGUUGUUUUCAAUUCCCAUUUUGGCGAUUCAUUUUCUAAUCCAUGGCAGUUCCGCAAAAAUAAUCCUAUGCCAAGAUUAAUAGAAGUUUUUCCUUGUGAAUUACUUGCUAACAGUACAGUUUGAACUUUCUCUUAAGCCUGGCUUCCAUAUAUGAUCGUAACGGUCGUAAAAAUCGAGUCACGAUCUUUCUCAACGCCGGCCAGUUUAUAAUAGUUUAUACCUGUGAAACACAUAUAAAUGAUAAGUAUUCUCUAGUUAUAAUCACUUCGUGUAUUUUCAGUUCUAAAAUGUUGUAUUUCGGCUGAUGAGAAAGAUCGUGACUCAAUCUUUACGACCGUUACGACCAUAUGGAAACCAGGCAUUAGAAGCAAAAAUCUAAACUAAAACGCGCAACUCAAGUAAUUUCUAUUCACAAUUCCAGAAAUUUUUUUGCAACUGCAAGAAUUGAAUGUUACUGUAGCUGGAAGGCCCACGCACUGACCACGUGUCCGCAACCUUGUCUGGUUAGGUAGAUGGGCGGAUGAUCCUGUAAUAAUGAACAUCUUUCCGGGUUGUUGACUUGUUGUUCUCUCAUUAUUCACACAAAAGCCCUAACACCUGGGUGUUAAUAUGUUCAAAAUGGCAUCAAGGCGUUUGGGGAAAAACAACAACAACUAAACGAUAAGGAACAUGGGGUCUGACGUGUGCGGGGGCGAGCGUGGUAUCCGAUCUCUCUAAUUCUAUCAAAAAUAGAACGUCCUUAUCUUCGAUAUCGAGACGAGUUUUUUUUAUAAACUUUGUUCCAUUCUAUACCAACAUUAUCAAAAUUUUUUCGAUGGAAAUUUCCAGUGGAAUUCAGUUUUACAUUUCUUAGACCUAACCGGGAACCGUUGCGAAAAAUGCAACAUAGAAUGUAGGCCUUCUGCCUCUAGCAGGAAUUGAACCUGUGAUUCCGGUGUAGUGCUCUAACCAACUGAGCUACAGAGGCCAGUUGUCGAGCUUAAGGCCCUGUCACACUAUUGCGUACGAGAGAAACGUAUGAAAAGCGUAUGAAAAUUAAUGAAAUAAUUUUCAUACGCACAAAAAUCCUUUCAAAUGCCAGCAUAUGAGUACCGUACAUCUGGCGUACCUCUAGCGUAUUCAGCGUGUACCUAGAAUAUGCUUAUCGUAUAAAGUAUAUGACGCCGGUUCAAUACGCACAAAAUGUUUGAGCAUGCUUAAAAAAUUUUUUCUGCCUCGCCGUAUGCCAGCGUAUACCACCGUACGCGACCGUGCUUAAAACGUAUACAACCUAUGCCUAACGUACCCCUAGCGUAUGUCAGCGUAUACCGGCGUAUGGGUGAUAUUUUUCAUACGCUGGCAUACGCUAGUACGAUACGCAAUAGUGUGACAGGGCCUUAAGAACAAGUGUAUGUUAAAUGUAUAAAACUCUCAAAGUUGAGAUUUCCAUCCAUAAAAGCCUUUCUACAAUUGAUUAAGAACAACUGUUCGGGAUUAAUUUCGAUACGGAUGAAACCUUGUCUUCACUUUCCCAUCGUGUUAGAAUUUUACCGCUAAAUAUCCUUGGUCAGGGUCUAUCCCCGGAUGUUUGUGGGUCGCCCUUUGUUGACUCGCCAACCGCGGUUAGUGACUUUUGCCAGAAUCAUGUUUAAAAUCACCGUAGUCUCUGUGUGUGCGCAGAAACAGAGCUGUUCAACGGGACGUGUAGGGAUUCUGUGCAUAUAUUCGCAACAGUGGAAUCAGUAAAUAUCGUGGCUCUCGACAUAGCUUAUUGUGAGGAACUGCAGGGAAUCCUGAGACACUAAACGCGGUAAAGGAUAUAUUUAUUUUUCUUUAGUAAUAAUAGAAAUUGUUUUUCUUUUUGUUUGUUCUUGUUUGUAAACAACUUAUUUGUAUUGAUGUUAUGAAAUAUAAAUUAUCGCCAGUAGAUUCUAGCAUCUUCUUACAUGCAGUAAAUCUGACUAUAAGUUAACUCUACCAAACCUCACCACGCUUGCCUUUCAUGCUGGGAGUCCCGGGUUCAGUCCUUGCUCGGACCUCUACUCAAGGUCUUAAAAUAAUUGAGGAGAAAGUGCUACCUUUACAUUGACAUCAGUAAAUGGUUAGACUUUCGCGUCUUCUCGGAUAAGGACGUUAAAUCGUAGGUACCUCGGAUCCCCAAUCAAUUGGGCAAUACUCGAUAGCUUGUUGGGAAAUUCGCUCACCAAUGAGUGAGGAACUCAAUGAACUCCAAGAUUUUUCCAAAUAAUUUGUUCUAUAGUAAUACUACAUAUAUUGGAUCUCUGGGGAGAACUUAUAGACUCGCACACGGAGCUAUUUUGUAUAAAUAAAGGUCUGAUUUCGGAGUGAUGCAAAAAUAUCUUGCACACAGAAUGUCGAGCCUCACAUUCCAAUCUCGUCCAUUUACGCAUGCUUCCCACUGUAUUAAUCCAUAACCGUUAAUCCUGAAAUGCGCAAACAUGGCGACGCGUUUACUUUGCGAUAAUUAAACAUAAUUCGCACAAUACUUGUCGCAUGCACACAAUGAAUGCUUGAUCAAUAUCAGGAUACUGACGUCCUCAUAGUUUUUGGAAUAUGAACUAUGACGUCACUGGUUGGAUUUUCCAAAUUCCAUUUUCUCUUUGUACAAACGUUAAUGAAAGAGAUGAUCCUUACUAGGCCUUUAGAGAGAACAGUUUAGAACUGACAGAGCAAUCCAGUAUAAGUAAAGUUGGUUUAGUUUAGGUUUCCUCCUGCAUAGUAACACUGGAUCAAUAAGAGAUGAUCCUUACUGGACCUCUAGGAAGAACAGUUUAGAACUGAUAGAGCAAUCCAGUAUAAGUAAAGUUGGUUUAGUUUAGGUUUCCUCCUGUAGUAACACUGGACGAAUAAGAGAUGAUCCUUACUAGACCUCUAGGAAGAACAGUUUAGAACUGAUAGAGCUAUCCAGUAUAAAUAAAGUUAGUUUAGUUUACGUAGUCUAACACUAGGGUAAUAAGAGAUGACCUUUUGAUCGACCUUCAUAGAACAGUUUAGGACUGAUAGAGAUAUCCAGUAUAAAAAUCUUAUAAUGUACUGUAUCAUAUAAUGAGAAUCUGACAUUCCAAUGUCGUCCUGUCUCGCAGCUCAUUAAUCCAUAACCUUUUAACAUGUAGUUGAAAUGCGCAAACAUGGCCAACGUUUACUUUGCGAUAAUUAAACAUAAUUCUCACAAUUCAUGUCAUGAUUGAACUCAUAAAACAUGCCCGCCCACUGAAAGACGACGUUUGUAACUAUAUCGCAUUGUCGUGCUUGGCCCGGUCAUGUAAACCCAACCCUUGAGGACUUAAUCACUCUGCUUUGUUCCUUCAGGUUGUGGGUGGCCUGAGAUUAGCGUUUUACGCAAGGAGAAUUUGAAUAGCGUGGUACACUCUGAUUCACGAGAGCUGUAGUGCAGAGGAGUUUAUGAGAGCAAAACGGAUUUGGCCGUCAGAGAGGAUAAUUCGCUUAUAAUCUGAGGUAUGUAUCGAGCUUAUUAAUGAUAGAUAUAAUGUAUCACCAUGUCCACGGUAAUGUCUAGCACCAUGCCGGUAUAAAAUGGUAAAUUAUGCUGCCACUUUUUAGCAUAUAGAGCGAAGCUGCUCUGACCAUACUGAUAGCCGCAUUUAGGGCGCUCUCUUUGAGACUUUGAUAUUACGGGGUUAGCUCUUAAAUGUUUAACAUACAUUCAUAUUCAGUUCUUGUUCGAAUCUAAAUUUUACCAUAUUGGUAAUGUAAUUCAAUUAGCUUUCGAAUGAAUUUAUUUGUGGUACUUUGGUUGAAUGUGACGUCACGGCGUGUCGCAACUCGGCGAGAGAUGCGUUCUCUUUGAACCGGCAAAUUUGCGCACAUUUUCAGGCUAUCAUCGGUUACCGCCAUGCAACUUUUCUUUUCGACAUUGAUGACAUAUUGUCAAUUCUAUAGAGAUCCUUUUGAUUUCUACGUUAGAAAUUACAAAUCGAUGUCAGUUAGACUAAUAACAUACUGGCCCGAUUGCAUUUUGCUAAAGGAAAUAGGGUUGCAUAUUUAACUCGAAUUCUUCAUGUUGACAUACACUCGUGAGAACGUUUAUAGAAUAAACUAGCAUUAACUUAAAACCCAUCGGGGAAUCCCUGGAGGGGGGGGGGGGGGGGGUAGCGUGGUCGAUCACACCGCCUCUGAUUAUAAUUAGAAGAAAAUCAAAGAUCGCUACUGAUCCUGGCCAGAGCAGCAUUCAGGAUCUUGAAAUAUUUAAAGAACAAGGUUUUAGGAAGCAAGGAUCUCCCAAGGGUGAAGGAAACAAGACUACUUUUGCAAUGGGAACACAGAAUAAAGCCGAAAAAUCAUAGUGGGCAAGGGAACUUGUAAGAUUAGAGAUCAAGGGGACAUGGUCAAAUUUUUGUGGGGAACGAGGGAACGAAUGAAAAAUUUGCAAGGGAACACAGAAACACAGCCGGACUUCAUUGGUCGAAAGCUGCACUUGAUUAGCUCUUCACGUCUUCUCGGAUAAGGAUUUAUGUCUUUUGACUGAAAUGCAGUGAUGAAGAUUGAAAAAAUAUUUCACUCUAUUUGACUGUAUCGCCCAAACUGUGGGAUCAACUCUCAUGCAACUCUUGUUCUCGUUUGACCUGGGCAUGAAAACUCUCAUGCAAACUCUCGCUUCUCAACUCUCAUGCAAACUCUCGCUUCUCGACUCUCAUCAACUCUCAUGCAACUCUUGUUCUCGUUUGACCGGGGCAUGAGAGUUGAGAAAACUCUCAUGCAAACUCUCGCUUCUCAACUCUUAUCAACUCUUCAUCCCUGACCUUGUUCAACCGGUUCUUUACUGUAUAUACUGUACAGGUGGUCUUUAAACCCAACUUCUAUUGACUAGUCGUAAUGUCGGUUUAACUCUGAUAUGUCAAUACAACAAAUGCAGCAUUUAACCACACAGACUGUUUUAACGCAAUUAACCUUGAGCUACAACUCGGCUUAAGUUUCCAAAUCAGUUUCCCGGCUUCUAUAGGGACGAUUCCGGUCUCACGUGGAUUUUUCAUGCAUUUCCGUGACAUGUUGGACUUAUGUCAAUCUUUUUUGAACUUUAAAGCAGUUUGGAUGUUUUCUUAAGAAAGUUUUCAUAACAAAUCUAAUGCAAAUUUUAAAGUCAAUACAUCAUUUUCCAUUCUUGUGUACAUUUGGGGUCACAUGAGGUCAUUCCCAAGGUCUGGGAAAGAGAAGAUGUUUGUCAACUCGGAACGGUAAAUGGAGUUGUCAGACGACAUCACAUCGUCACCAUAAGUGAGAAUACCUUUUAACUUGAAAGAGUUUGACCUAUAGUAUAGGGGUGGAGUUUUAUCAAGAUUUUUGUUGCGAGAUAAUACAAGUUUAGGUCGAAAUUAUGAGAAAUAGUGCGACAUAGAUGAGAGAAUUACUGCUAAACGACUUUUGUAGCAUAUUUUGUGUUCAAUAUAUAGACUACAGUAAGACUUUUUUUAAAUGUGUUUAUUACAUGAUUUACUCCGUCUAUAUAUUGAACACAAAAUAUACGUUUAGUUCGUUCCUAAACACUUUUGUAGCGUUAAGUUUGCACGAAGGCUGUUCAGUUCUAUUAGAAUGUUAGGGUUUGUAAUCCAAGUGAGUAUAUAUACAUUAAUUCCACCAAGUGAAGUGCAAGAAUCCAAAUCAUUGCUCAGUUCUAUUGUCUAGUAUUGAUACGUUUUUACUUAAAUUUAUAUAAUUUAUUAAAAUAGAUUUUAGAGUUCUACGUGGAUUAGACAAUAUUUUUACCAGGCACAUGUUUGCACUGACCUACAAAUGACAGCGGUUAAUUUGUAAUAUUUUAAAUUCUAUUUUAUCCUUUCUUUCAAUAAUUCACCCAUGCUUGCAGAUAUCAUUAAAUUAUACGACGUUGUAAUAAGAUAUUAGGGAGCUUAAUUAGCCAUUAGCUAUACCGAUGUUCGGGUGACGUCACUUGCUUAAAUAAGCUCACUAUUUUGGACUGGGAGUCUAUAUGUAAGAUGAACUUUGAACGGUCGUUUGAAUUUAGACCUCGUGAACAAAUGAAUUGUUAAACUCUCAAAACUUUACAACUAUAUUAAACUCUCAAAAAUAGACUAUUAAACUCUCAAAACUUAAACUCUAAGACUAUUAAACUCUCAAAGAGGUGGUUGUAUUUUUGGGUGGUUUGUUGAUGUCAUAAUGUUUCGAGUGAACUUGAGUCCAUUUACUAAAUCACCGUGACCUCAGUUUGUUCCAAAAGAAAACGACUUAUUUCAAAAGAUAUUUCAGGACCGAAGAUAUUUAAUGACAUGAGGCAUUAUAAUGAAUCAACCAUGCAUGCCAGAAAAAUGACCUCAAGGCUAUUUAAUGGCCGUGUAAUAAUCGUGACAGUACAUUAGCAUUGCGUGUGAGAUUUACCCCAAUCGGUCCAUUAGUGAGAUAUUGCAAAAUACCCAAUACAAACAGGGAUUAGUUAUCUUCAAACAACGACAUGCAAUCGUAAUGGUGUAGAUCCCCCUUAACUUAAGGUGGCUAUGGAACAUUUUUCACUACUGCAUCAAUUUUUUCUUUUAAAGUUGCAUUUUGUUCGACAGUGUGAUACGCAAAUUAAUACGGUGAAUUUUUUAAAACUAUAAUUUCUAAUUAAUACAUUGAUUUAACACCAUGAGAUUGUGUGCACACAGUACAAAACAUGUUUGCUUUGCUAAUCCUGGCUUUUAGCGCGAUCGCGUUUAAGAUAUUAAAGAAUUAAUGUAUAACCGAUAACGAUUCAUCGACGAAGUCUGGAAGAUUCGUCAUGAAAUAUUCAUUAGAUACAGAAUGCGUUAAAUACAUUUACUUAGCAAAUUAUUAAACGGUAGGCCCAUGACGUAAUGAACAACAUAUGGAUACCACAUUUUUGCAGCACUAUAUCGCCUGAUGACGUAAUCAUGACGUCAUCUGGGACAUACCCAAAAGAUAUGCGUAUCCAACUAUUUAAUACACAAAAUCAGUUUGUGACUCGUGUAAACCCUCUUUCUACUCAGCAAACAAGCUCCUUAAUUUAUAGAACGAAGAACACAUAAUACCCAUUUCUAAGGCAGUUUGACCAAGUUUAGAUCGACUGCACAUCCAAAUGACUCGUUCCAGAGAUGAGGGUCAUAUUGUAAUUGAAUUAUAUAAAGUGCAGACUAAAGAUUUCAAACAUGUUCAUAUGUCAAUACGUAUUAAAAAAUAUUCACUGAUCCAUGCUAAGCGUUCCCAGUGCAGUUUACAGUAGAUUGUUUGAUUUUAAUAUUGCAGUGCAUCACUAUAAAAAGAUAUGACGUGCAUUUCACGUUGCGUUGUCGCGUGAAUGUCUCUUCUCUAUUUAAGGUAUAAUACAUCACACCCAAUUGUAAUUGAAGCGGUCAUGUUUUAACCAUUAAAACAUCUUCAAGUUAUCCUUUCAAUCAGAUGCAUGUUUUUACACUCAACUCUCGCAAACAAAAUGAAAUGAGUUUUGAAAGGUAAUAAAUAAGCGCGCAAUCUGCUCGCGAAUUGACGCACAAUGAAUUUAUCACUGAUAGCGUAGCACUGUACAUGUGUAGUGGACCAGAGAUAAUUUCUAGAUUACAUGUACUCUGACAUUGCUGCAAAACAGCUGUGCUGAUUUGUCCUGAAUUUUUGGCAUCUCACAAGAAAGAAUGCCAAUAGUCACAACUCACAACUACAGACUCUGUAGCUCAAUGGUUAGAGCAUUGCAUCACAGAACUGUAGGUUCAAUUCCUGCCCAAGACGCUAUAUAUAUAAUUGUAUUUUUGGAACCUGGAGUUUUCGGCUAAGCACAAAAACCUUUGGACCAAUUUGUUCAUUUGCUCUGAUCAGCCAAAUCAAGAUGGUUUAAGUGGUGUUAAUUAACUACCUUCUCAAGGCUAUAUAUGAUAAUGAUAUUAAAAGCUUUGGGAUACAAAAAUACUCCAAGUAUCUAUACCUAUAGACGAUGCAUGUUUUCAUUUGUAAAGACUGGUUUAUACUAUCAAACUUUCUGUGAUCACCGUAUGAAUUUUGUAUUGGUAAAUUUUUGAAAGAUUUGUAAGAAAUGUUUGAGGAAAUUGACUCUGUGUUUAACACAAUAAAAUCAGUUUCCUCAAACAUUUCUCACAAACUUUUCAAAACUUAGGAUUUACCAAUGCAAAAUUCCUACUGUGAUCACAGAAACUUUGAUAGUGUAAACCCUUAAAGCUCGCUAUGAACAUUGAUCUCAUAGAGCAUGUAGUAUGUUGUGCAUAUGAAGCAAGCUAGGUGGUGGGUCCCUUAUGAAUAUUAUCUAAAUUGAUCUGACUUCCAUGAUUGACUACUUAAUACACCGUAAUAACCGGUGUUGUGAACGGUAUUACUACUUAUUGUGGAAACGUGAGAUAAUGAAAUUAAACUGCACAUAUUGUCAUAUAGAGAAGCUCUGUAGACCGAAGAGACCUUGAGUAGCCCACAUUCAUGAGGUACCAUCUUUACAGUGUGGAUCAGUAGAUGGUAUAGAUAAAGUUUUGUAUAUUACCAUCUGUGCAACAUUUUCGUCUUCAAUUUGAAAGGAUAUCCUUAUUUAAAACCAAUAUUUCAGAUAAAUAUCACAUCUUUAUCUUUUCUGGGAUGUAAAUACCGCACCUGUGAACAUUGAAUUUUAAUUUCCUGUCCUUCCAACGCUAUUUGCUGGUUAUCAGAAUUUAAAUUGGAAAUGCUCUAUGGCACUACAAGUUACUACAGCAGUUAGCUAUUGAAGUUACUUUCCUAUUCUACCACCCUUAAACUUUUAACAAUUUAUUAGUCUUGAGAUGACAAUUGAGCCUCCAUUACAUAUGUCUGGCAUUAAAUAAAUGACAGCCGCCCCACUUGCUUUGCCAAGAAAAGUAGUAUACCAAUGAAAUAUUCGCAUGACCCCUCCCUACUUUGUAAUGUUAAGAUUUUGAACUUACAGUUAGCUACAAGGACUGCAUGUUCAUAAGUUUUACACACUUUAGAAGGAACUACAGCGGGUUUUUAAGAUUGGAACCACUGAUGAAAACGUCAACAACAUGUUGAUACCAGCGAUACAGCAUGAUAAAUCUACCAUACUUAAUUAACCAUUGUCCAAAACAUAUUCAAAAGCAACAACAACAACAACAACAACAACAACGAUUUGCAUGAUAAGUUCUUCUCUUGCCAUAUUGCCGACAUAGUAAAUGUUUGGGAGUGGUGUAUUUUAGUGGCGAAGGUAGCCUUGGCUAUGCUAAUAAACCUGCAUUUAAAUAGGUGUAUUUAAUUGAUUUCGCCCAGUAGUAUUUACAAGAAUAGUAAUUAUGUAAAAUAAGGCCUAGAGGUCUACUAGAAACCUGGACAGGCUUUUGAAUUAAGACCCCUUACUAAGGACAAUACAUUUCGAAAAGUUUGAAUAAUGAAAAUCAUUAAACAUUUGCAUAUCAUGAGCUGUUGCUAUGGCUACCUCGCCACUAGUAUGUUUGAUUGGUAGCAACAUGAUCGAAUUCAAGUAGUUCUAGCAGGAUUGAUAGAAAUGAGCAACCUAAAAAUGAUGCCUCCUCAGUCUAAGACUACGGGGUACUAACAUAUAUUGCAUGCAGAAGGCAUUCACAACUGUUAUAUAGCAUUCAUCCAUAAAAUGUCCCAAUAAAUAUGUUUUAUAAAUCUUGUUAUCCUUAACGAAGUCGUGUUAUUCUAAAUGUUGUUCUUUAAAUCAACAAACGAGGUUAUUAUAACUAAAUUGCGUGCAUUGUAUGGCGAUAAAAUCACACAUGAGUUCAUUUGACGAUAACACUGUCCCCAACAGCAUGAUGUGGCUUGGCGCGAUAAUUCGACAGCGAUCCUUAUCUGCGCGCAUUGUAUGCAAAUGAGGCGUGUGUCUUUUCACUAUUGUCUACACUAGCCACGCACGUUCACCAAUCGUAUUAAUGCGCAAUUCGUCUCGCGCUCAUCAGCAUUCCCACGGUAUUAUAACAAACAUCGGUUUACACUUUGGGUGAAUGGAUAUGAAACGACGGUAUUGAAUAGCGAAUAGAUAAUUGGGUAAGUGGUUAUGAACUUUCAAUUUAGAUAGCUAGCCAAAUUAUAGGCGGGCUUCACUAGGCACUAGCGAGCAGAUGAUGGUCAACCUCCAGUAAUCAGAAUGAGAAAUUAUAUUUUUUCGUCUCACUAUCUGUAGUACGUAUGUUUCAAUGUCUCUGAAGUGCACCAGAAUAUGUUUCCAGAAUAUGUUUCCUUGUAUAACCCCGCAGUUGCUAGUAAAGGGAUCGCUGCAUAAUGCUGCAUUAGUUUGGUACAUUUAUCACCCAGGUUUUAAAGGUCAGGACGGUCAAUGGACCAAAACUAAUAAGCUCGCUACUUACGCCUCGAUCAAGGCGGAGAGAGAAAGGUUGAGGAGGUUUUAUGAUAUGUCUCAUUCAGUUUCCAGGGGUUUAAAGUCGCCCAAAUUCUAUGGGAAAUGUUGUUUGACCUCGCUGUGCCCUCGUGUGUGAGUGAUGUUGUUUUAAACCUUGUAUAGCUGUUACAGAUGUGAUUUCGGACGAACUUAAUGCAUUUUAUGGUAUAAUUUAGUAAUUAACGGACUGGCAAUGAGAUCAGUUCUCGUAAAGGUCGCAAUUAUGAGUGCACAUAUUGUUUGAGAAAUCCGCUGACACUUCGAAAGCUGUAUUGCUUUUCUGAUUAUUAAAUUUGGAGCUACGCCAGGGUUACCGUACGAGUAUAAUUAAAACGGAGAAUUGUGACGUUCACUGUACUAAAUUGGGUCAAUGAUUUUUAUUCUGAGCUACCAUUGUUCUUAUCUCUGUUUUUUUAAGCUGAAACAAUAGUAACUCGUUUUAAAUUUGAUAUAUUGACACACGUUAGGGAGCGACCAUUAGAAAAGUUAAUCAUGGGUGGGGAAUUUUCAGCUUGUAAGAUUUUUUCGACCGCCUGCUUGUGCGGGAAUUCAAGUCAAAGUUAGUUUAGUUUCGGUUUCCUUCUGUAGUAACACUGGAUCAAUAAGAGAUAAUUAUCCCUUAGUGGACCGUUUAGAACUGAUAAAAAUAUCCAGUAUAAAUAAAGUUAGUUUAGUUUAGGUUUCCUUCUGUAGUAACACUGGAUCAAUAAGAGAUAACCCUUAGUGGACCGUUCAGAACUGAUAAAGAUAUCCAGUAUAAAUAAAGUUAGUUUAGUUUAGGUUUCCUCCUGUAGUAACACUGGAUCAAUAAGAGAUUACCCUUAAUGGACCUUUCAGAACUGAUAAAGAUAUCCAGUAUAAAUAAAGUUAGUUUAGUUUAGGUUUCCUCCUGUAGUAACACUGGAUCAAUAAGAGAUGGCCUCUAGGAAGAACAGUUUAGAACUGAUAGAGCCAUCCAGUAUAAAUAAAGUUAGUUUAGUUUAAUGCCAAACCGUUUAUAGCCAUGAUUUACACCGCGACCUGUAUCAGGCUGAUGACUUUAUCACUAAUAACAAUCCCAAUUCGCGCUGUCCACUUGACGAAUGAUAUUUGUUUCAGCCUACAGUGUUAUAGUAUGACUCCCUUGACCUGCCCCUCAGAACUGUGAAAACAACAGCAUUAGUCAUUUUUUUAUCUAAGUGAUAAACUGCCCUAACUAUUUGGCUUGUCGUUAGAGAGUGCACGACGACAGCGCUCUGUUUACUCUCAGUCGCAUCUGCUAUCAGAUUGUUAGAAGGUGAAGUACAAUGGGGUGUGCUUAUCAUGCUUAUUAGCAGCUGAGAGCUAAGCUGAAUUGCGAUGGAUACAGCUCAACCUGGUCGAGUCGAAGGCUUUCUAAGGGUUCCUUAAAUCCUUUGGCAGCCACCUUAUGACUGUCUGAUCACAGAGGACAGCUACGAUGGAAGGGUCAGUUGGGGCAACCAGUGAACUCUACAUAACUCUCGUCUCUCUUAGAGUUUACAGGGGCUAACUUACACUAGCACUGAUGAAUUCCACUUUGGGAAUUCGUAUAUGCACAUUUGAAUUCUUCCAUUCUCGGCUGAUAUUAUGAUUGAAUACAAAUUUUGUCCAUAUAUAUCACAGUAUCAUGAGGAAAAUAUCGAGAAGACCCUCUAACUUAUAUUCGCAGAUUAUUGGGGUUAAAAAAGGUGUUUCCACAAACGCAAAGGAUACUAUAUGAUUAUAUCUUCAUGUAAUUCAGACAGAGCCGCCGCGAGGUUGCGCGGGACCGGGGCAAACCUUUCCCAGGAGCUCCUAUGACGUCAUAAAACAGGAGAAGUAGUGUUUUACAAUAUAUUACACUUUACUGUAAAUAAUCCAGCAAUGACGCAGCUGCGACUUUUAUUCUCGGUUAAGCAAUCUUGUAUGAAGAAAAUUUAAUAGCCUUUGUCCCUUGGGGCCCCCCUUAAUUUUGAGUUGGUGGCCCGGGGUAAAAUACUCCCUCCCCGAGUGAUAUAUUCGUACGCUAGUGAACCCAAUACAGAGAGAUACGGGACCAUAACCUAUGUGUUCUUUGCCAUGUCCAAACCACUGGUUACUCGCGUGCCGUGGGCGUUUUGUUUCGCAUGUAUUUACCGUUUUACGCGCGCUAAUUAAGAAGGAUUAGAUCUUGGGCUCAUUGAAAUCAUUUAUCACAAUGAUGUAAUAAAUGAUGCUUGCUAAAUUAUAAAGAUUUGAUAUUAAUUGGCCGCAUGCGUUUUGGUAGGCCAAAAUAUUUCUCAAAUUAAGAGGAUUUUAUCUUAAGCCAAUUGAAACUAAUUAAUUGCAGUGAAUGUAAUUAUGUAACAAAUAAUGUUUGGUACGCCAAAACGUUGCUCAAGAGGGAUUUUAUCUUAAGCCAAUUGAAACAAAUUGAUUGCAGUGAAUGUAAUUAUGUGAAAAAUAAUGAUUGUUAGUUGCCUUGCAAAGUCAUGCCGCGGGCGUUUUGAGUUCUCGAUUAAAGUAGGAUUAAUCUUAAGCCAAAUCAAAUUAAUUGCAGUGCAUAAGCAAUAAUGAAAAUAAUCUCAUUGCUAUUUGCCUUCAAAAGCAAUCGAGUCUGACGUAGGCUAAUACAUUCUCUGCAUACAUGAAUUAAAUUGUCAAUCACUUUCAAGCAAUGGUCCAUAUAUCGUAUGCAAGAAUUAAUCCAUGUUUUUGGGAAAGGAAAUUGUGAAAGCAAUACUUGUCAUUUUGUCUUCUUAUGAUAAAAUGUGCCGUGUUGACGUGCAUUUAUUUACUUGAUAUUUAUAUUAUCUAUGAUACUGGAUUUUGAUUUAUCAGUUCUAAACUUCUUGGUAUGUCGAUGGAAGAUUCAACUCUAUUUAUUCAACUGUGCACCAUAUGGCAAGGAGGGCGGGAUAGUCUCACAAAACUGCGAUAAUCUUCACAAAUGUUUGCAAAUUAAAAGCAAUUCGUCUAGGGUGACAAGACUGCUUCAGAAUGCUCGUAAACGAGGACGAUUUUUACACAAAUUCUAGCAAAUUAAUAAUUGCUGUUCUGUUAAAAUUACACCUUUUUGAAAAUGAUCAUUAACUUUGUGCUUCUUGUUCACAACUGGAAGUCCACAGCCAAAACCGCAGAAUUCAAAUUAUUUCUUCGUUAUCAGGAAGAACGGUUUAGAACUGAUAGAGCCAUCCAGUAUAAAUAAAGUUAGUUUUGUUUAGGUUUCCUCCUGUAGUAACACUAGAUCAAUAAGAGAUGAUCCUUACUAGACCUCCAGGAAGAACAGUUUAGAACUGAUAGAGCUAGAUAUCCAGUAUAAAUACAGUUAGUUUAGUUCUGUUUAGUUCGGUAGUGUAGUCAAGUUCUGUAGUAACACUGGAUCGAUAAGGGUUGGCUCUUACUGAAUUACAGUUUAGAACUGAUAGAGCUAUUCAGUAGAAAUAAUUAGUCAGUUGCUUGCUUAAUAAUUGGAAUGUCACAGUCAGUGUUAGCUUAUCAUCGUUAAUCAGGUGCGAAAUGAAGCAUUUUGCUUCGGCCUUUCACUGACAUAGUGACAUAACCAUCUACAAAGCAUCAAACUGCCUUGAUAUUUAUCUCGCUUUUCAAUCUACAGUACUCCAUUUCAUUGAGUACACAUCUCAUGAUUUGACUACGAGGUGUGCUACAUAACCUGAACUCUUCAUUCUUGGAAUCUUGGACUGGCAAAUGUAUGAUGUGAUCAUGAUCCGAAAAUAAAUUGUAGGAAAAACACCAAAACCUAAGCGCCCACGAUGAAAUAAGGAAUAUUAUUGCAGUAAUAUUGCUUUCUAACCAUGUUUCCUGAAGGACAAACCAGGAAAGAUUGUUUCCUAGCCAUGUUUCUCAAAGGUGGACAAACCAGGAAACAUUGUUUCCUAGCCAUGUUUCCUGAAGGUGGACAAACCAGGAAACAUUGUUUGCUAGUCAUGUUUCCCAAAGGUGGACAAACCAGGAAACAUUGUUUCCUAGCCAUGUUUCCCAAAGGUGGACAAACCAGGAAACAUUGUUUCCUAGUCAUGUUUCCCAAAGGUGGGCAAACCAGGAAACGUUGUUUCCUAGCCAUGCUUCCCAAACGUGGGAAACAUUGUUUCCUAGCCAUGUUUCCCAAAGGUGGACAAACCAGGAAACAUUGUUUCCUAGCCAUGUUUCCCAAAGGUGGACAAACCAGGAAACAUUGUUUCCUAGCCAUGUUUCCUGAAGGUGGACAAACCAGGAAACAUUGUUUGCUAGCCAUGUUUCCCAAAGGUGGACAAACCAGGAAACAUUGUUUCCUAGCCAUGUUUCCCAAAGGUGGACAAACCAGGAAACAUUGUUUCCUAGCAUGUUUCCCGAAGGUGGACAAAUCAGGAAACAUUGUUUCCUAGCCAUGUUUCCCAAAGGUGGACAAACCAGGAAACAUUGUUUCCUAGCCAUGUUUCCCAAAGGUGGACAAACCAGGAAACAUUGUUUCCUAGCCAUGUUUCCUGAAGGUGAACAAACCAGGAAACAUUGUUUCCUAGCCAUGUUUCCUGAAGGUGAACAAACCAGGAAACAUUGUUUCCUAGCCAUGUUUCCUGAAGGUGAACAAACCAGAAAACAUUGUUUCCUAGCCAUGUUUCUCAAAGGUGAACAAACCAGAAAACAUUGUUUCCUAGCCAUGUUUCCAAAGGUGGACAAACCAGAAAACAUUGUUUCCUAGCCAUGUUUCCUGAAGGUGGACAAACCAGGAACUGUAGAAUAAAUUGGCAACUCACAACAGAGAUACUGACUGUGCCAAGUUCAAACAUACAGAUUAAAGUUUAAAAACAAAGUAAAACAAUGUUUGCGAAACAAUAAUCUCAUUUGUUGCUAAUAAUUUUUCUUUCCUGAGGGGAAAUGUUUUAUCCAGAAGAAAAUUUUCGAGGGUGUCAUAAAUAGGGAAAUAGUUUAGAAAAUGUCAAGAGUUUCAGGUGGCUAAAAGCCAAAUAUUUCCGGUGUAGCUUUCAUACGCCUUAAGGUUCAUUUGUUUUCGGCUAAACUGCAAGUCAAGUUUAAGUGUGAGUUAAGUUUAUUAGUUGGAAAAUAAAGUUCUCAAUUCAGAGCAAAAUCGCAAAGGAUUACUGAGGGGUAGUAUAACCCACGCAUAAGCUCGACUUUAUUGCUUAUUUUUUAUAGAAAUAUUAUUGUACUAAUGAAUAUCCGGCCUUACUGAUCCACAAAACAAAUAGAUGUGUUUAUUUUCUUUUUUGAGUUGUGAACUAUCAACAGUGACCAGUGACUUGCGUCUUCGUUGAGUCCAUGAUUCCAGUCCAGGUUAUCUAUCGCUUGUCGCAAGCUGCUGCAAAUUAGGCUACAAUCUUGAACGCGAUGACCUGGGAAAGCUAGCGAAUAUAUCCAUGUAAUACAUGUGUAGUAAUACAGUCUCUCGUACUUGCUGUUGUGUGUGUUCUAACUUUGCUUUACAUUCUAGGGUGUUUGUUGUUUCACACACCGUGCUUUCGUUAAGACAUUGUUUUGAUUGGGCAGCUCUUGCAUACCCUGAGGGGCCGACCUGCCGUGUACACUAUCAACGGAUCGUCUUGGUCAUUCUAUACUCGUAACCUCGCUUGCUACCGCUGUAGUCCAAACAACACUUCUCCCGAGACCAGCCACAUUGGGACAGAACCAAUCACCAUCAACGCGUACCAAUGGAUCUGCCAUCAACCAGCACAUGGUUACUGCUAAUUCAGCUCGCUGCAUUCUUUCAAACUCGUACAGUCGCCAACGAACACCGUCUACAGUUCAACGAUAGUAAGUGACCUUAUAAUUUUAACGCCUAAAAAACUGUUACUUGUGGGAAUGUUGCAAAUUAGCCAGCUCAAACUGUUGCAUGUAUCCUUGUUGGAUUACUGUAUCAAAAUAUUAGACGUUUGUAAACAGUGUUUUCUUAGCCGCCCAAAGGAAACACAAUUUCAUAAAUACAAACUUGUAUUCUUGCAAGAUUGUUUAAGAAUUCAAUAUUGUGUUAUCAACGUAACGUUGAGUCAAUCAGGAUUUCAAGGUGCAUAUUUCGCGAACAGAACUCUGGAAUCCGCUAGGCCGAGGGCAAAAGUUAACCUUUAUUUAUGUUGACGAUAUAGUGUUAGACUUUCCAUAUGAAAUGGCUCUGAAUAAGGCUACUUGUUAAUUCCUAACUGAUGUACCCAAUAAUUUGACGCAAUUUAUUUUGAUUUUGUUUUAAUUUCUAGACGCGCAAACCGAGACAUCGAACACGUUUGAAAUCAUCGACAUAGCAUUUCCUCAACGAACCACAUCCAAUGCAACUUCACACAAAUCAAACCAUUUCCUAACAUUCACACAGAGACACCAAGAACGAGAGAUUCGCUACAAUUUAACAACUUUUGGAAAAGUGUUUCACUUCGUCCUUAAACCAGAGAAAAGGUUCAUCGCGCCUUCGUUCAGCAUCGAACAUUACUCCGGUAAUCAUUCGGAAUCAAUUCCCUCCGGUGCUGACCUCUCACAUUGUUAUUAUCGGGGGAGGGUACACAACGAUUCCGCGUCGUCAGCUGUUUUUGAUCUAUGUACUGGCAUG